UCCCUGGUUGUCUAGCGAUUAGGAUGCAGCACUUUCAAUGCUGCAGCCCAGGUUCAACCUCUGGUUUGGGAA
RNAcentral lists this transfer RNA (72 nucleotides) under Sus scrofa (pig). It matches the Rfam family "tRNA". Rfam says of the family: Transfer RNA (tRNA) molecules are approximately 80 nucleotides in length. Their secondary structure includes four short double-helical elements and three loops (D, anti-codon, and T loops). Further hydrogen bonds mediate the characteristic L-shaped molecular structure. tRNAs have two regions of fundamental functional importance: the anti-codon, which is responsible for specific mRNA codon recognition, and the 3' end, to which the tRNAs corresponding amino acid is attached (by aminoacyl-tRNA synthetases). tRNAs cope with the degeneracy of the genetic code in two manners: having more than one tRNA (with a specific anti-codon) for a particular amino acid; and 'wobble' base-pairing, i.e. permitting non-standard base-pairing at the 3rd anti-codon position. Lineage: Eukaryota; Metazoa; Chordata; Mammalia; Artiodactyla; Suidae. The record is from Rfam by way of RNAcentral.